Molecule: ribosomal RNA, 389 nt
Filed under: uncultured bacterium
Lineage: Bacteria
Description: partial 16S ribosomal RNA
Rfam family: Bacterial small subunit ribosomal RNA
Source: RNAcentral
AAGUGGCGGCUUGCCUACACAUGCAGUCGCACGUCCUGCCUGGUUUCGGCCAAGCAGGGAGUGGCGGACGCGUGAGUAACACAUGGGUGACCUACCUCCCAGUGAGGAAUACCGGCGAGAAAUCGCCGACAAGACCGCAUACGCUCUGCCUGCUGCGGCGGGCCGAGCAAAGUCGCAAGACGCUGGGAGAUGGGCCUGUGGCCGAUUAGCUCGUUGGUGGGGUAAGGGCUCACCAAGGCGACGAUCGGUAGCUGGUCUGAGAGGACGAUCAGCCACACUGGGAUUGAGAACGGCCCAGACUCCUACGGGGGGCAGCAGUGAGGAAUUUUCCGCAAUGGACGCAAGUCUGACGGAGCAACGCCGCGUGCAGGAGGACGCUUCUCGGAGUG